GAUGAAGAACGCAGUGAAAUGCGAUAAGUAGUGUGAAUUGCAGAAUUCAGUGAAUCAUCGAAUCUUUGAACGCACAUUGCGCCCUUUGGUAUUCCAAAGGGCAUGCCUGUUCGAGCGUCAUUUGUACCCUCAAGCUUUGCUUGGUGUUGGGCGUCUUGUCUCCAGUUCGCUGGAGACUCGCCUUAAAGUAAUUGGCAGCCGGCCUACUGGUUUCGGAGCGCAGCACAAGUCGCGCUCUCUUCCAGCCAAGGUCAGCAUCCACAAAGCCUUUUUUCAACUUUUGACCUCGGAUCAGGUAGGGAUACCCGCUGAACUUAAGCAUAUCAAUAAGCGGAGGA
RNAcentral lists this unclassified non-coding RNA (338 nucleotides) under soil metagenome. RNAcentral's name for it is "partial contains 5.8S ribosomal RNA, internal transcribed spacer 2, and large subunit ribosomal RNA". The stretch from base 1 to 120 matches the Rfam family "5.8S ribosomal RNA", at positions 35 to 154 of the family's 154-position model. The record is from RNAcentral.